UCGAGGAUAUUUAGCAAUGGACGAAAGUCUGACUAUGUGACGCCGCGUGAGGGAUGAAGGUCUUCGGAUCGUAAACCUCUUUCGAUAGGGAAGAAAACCUAUUCUUAACGGAAUAGACUGACGGUACCUAGAGAAGAAGCCACGGCCAACUCUGUGCCAGCAGCCGCGGUAAUACAGAGGUGGCGAGCGUUACUCGGAUUUAUUGGGUGUAAAGGGCAAGUAGGCGUCUUGACAAGUUAGGGGUGAAAUCCUGCAGCUCAACUGCAGAACUGCUCUUAAAACUGUUGAGAUUGAGUUUGGGAGAGGAAAGCGGAAUUCUCGGUGUAAGAGUGAAAUCUGUAGAUAUCGAGAGGAACACCAGUGGCGAAGGCGGCUUUCUGGCCCAGUACUGACGCUAAGAUACGAAAGCGUGGGGAGCAAACA
RNAcentral lists this ribosomal RNA (423 nucleotides) under uncultured prokaryote. Its description in RNAcentral is "bacterial SSU rRNA". It matches the Rfam family "Bacterial small subunit ribosomal RNA", at positions 355 to 774 of the family's 1533-position model. The record is from RNAcentral.